UGGGGAAUAUUGCACAAUGGGGGAAACCCGUGAUGCAGCGACGCCGCGUGAGUGAAGAAGUAAUUCGUUAUGUAAAGCUCUAUCAGCAGGGAAGAAAAUGACGGUACCUGAGUAAGAAGCCCCGGCUAACUACGUGCC
Molecule: ribosomal RNA, 138 nt
Filed under: uncultured bacterium
Lineage: Bacteria
Description: partial 16S ribosomal RNA
Rfam family: Bacterial small subunit ribosomal RNA
Source: RNAcentral